RNAcentral lists this long non-coding RNA (205 nucleotides) under Elaeis guineensis (African oil palm). RNAcentral's name for it is "long non-coding RNA (EGUI_LNC051904)". The record is from RNAcentral. Lineage: Eukaryota; Viridiplantae; Streptophyta; Magnoliopsida; Arecales; Arecaceae.
CAUCACUCCCUAGCUGGCCGCAAUAAUGGCCACGAUUCUGCUCCACCUCCUGCGACGGAUUCUACGUGGCUCCACCACUCCCUGACGAGUCGCGACAACGAACGCCGCUCCACUCUCUGCAACUGACUCCACGUGGCGAGCCAUGGUGACAGCCAUGACUCCCCCCAUUACUCUUCAUAAUAAACUCUUCCUGACCCCUAGCGGC